RNAcentral lists this ribosomal RNA (987 nucleotides) under human oral metagenome. Its description in RNAcentral is "bacterial LSU rRNA". It matches the Rfam family "Bacterial large subunit ribosomal RNA", at positions 1945 to 2925 of the family's 2925-position model. The record is from RNAcentral.
ACCAUCCUAAGGUAGCGAAAUUCCUUGUCGGGUAAGUUCCGACCUGCACGAAUGGAGUAACGACUUCCCUACUGUCUCAACCAUGAACUCGGCGAAAUUGCAGUACGAGUAAAGAUGCUCGUUUCGCGCAGCAGGACGGAAAGACCCCGUGACCUUUACUAUAGUUUGGUAUUGGUGUUUGGUUUGGCUUGUGUAGGAUAGGUGGGAGACUGUGAAGCAUGGACGCUAGUUUGUGUGGAGUCGUUGUUGAAAUACCACUCUGGUCAAUCUGGAUGUCUAACUUCGGGCCAUGAUCUGGUUCAGGGACAGUGCCUGAUGGGUAGUUUAACUGGGGCGGUUGCCUCCUAAAGUGUAACGGAGGCGCCCAAAGGUUCCCUCAGCCUGGUUGGCAAUCAGGUGUUGAGUGUAAGUGCACAAGGGAGCUUGACUGUGAGACUGGCAGGUCGAGCAGGGACGAAAGUCGGGACUAGUGAUCCGGCGGUACGUUGUGGAACGGCCGUCGCUCAACGGAUAAAAGGUACCUCGGGGAUAACAGGCUGAUCUUGCCCAAGAGUCCAUAUCGACGGCAUGGUUUGGCACCUCGAUGUCGGCUCGUCGCAUCCUGGGGCUGGAGUCGGUCCCAAGGGUUGGGCUGUUCGCCCAUUAAAGCGGUACGCGAGCUGGGUUCAGAACGUCGUGAGACAGUUCGGUCCCUAUCCGCUGCGCGCGUUGGAAAUUUGAGAAAGGCUGUCCUUAGUACGAGAGGACCGGGACGGACGAACCUCUGGUAUGUCAGUUGUACCGCCAGGUGCAUGGCUGAUUGGCUACGUUCGGGAGGGAUAACCGCUGAAAGCAUCUAAGCGGGAAGCCUGUUUCGAGAUGAGAUUUCCUGGCACUUUUUGGUGUGUGAGGCUCCUUAUAGAUGAUGAGGUUGAUAGGCCGGGUAUGGAAGCGGGGACUGAAGACUCGUGGAGUUGACUGGUACUAAUAGGCCGAAGGCUUACUUUU